CCGUUAAACACCAACUUCUGAAAUGUUGACCUCGGAUCAGGUAGGAAUACCCGCUGAACUUAAGCAUAUCAAUAAGCGGAGGAAAAGAAACCCAACAGGGAUUGCCCCAGUAACGGCGAGUGAAGCGGCAACAGCUCAAAUUUGAAAUCUGGCCCCUAGGGUCCGAGUUGUAAUUUGUAGAGGAUGCUUUUGGUGAGGUGCCGCCCGAGUUCCCUGGAACGGGACGCCACAGAGGGUGAGAGCCCCGUCUGGCUGGCCGCCGAGCCUCUGUAAAGCUCCUUCGACGAGUCGAGUAGUUUGGGAAUGCUGCUCAAAAUGGGAGGUAUAUGUCUUCUAAAGCUAAAUAUUGGCCAGAGACCGAUAGCGCACAAGUAGAGUGAUCGAAAGAUGAAAAGCACCUUGAAAAGAGGGUUAAAUAGUACGUGAAAUUGUUGAAAGGGAAGCGCUUGUGACCAGACUUGGGCGCGGCGGAUCAUCCGGGGUUCUCUCCGGUGCACUUCGCCGCGUCUGGGCCAGCAUCAGUUCGUCGCGGGGGAAAAAGGCUUCGGGAACGUGGCUCCUCCGGGAGUGUUAUAGCCCGUCGCAUAAUACCCUGCGGUGGACUGAGGACCGCGCAUCUGCAAGGAUGCUGGCGUAAUGGUCACCAGCGACCCGUCUUGAAACACGGACCAAGGAGUCGUCUUCGUAUGCGAGUGUUCGGGUGUCAAACCCCUACGCGUAAUGAAAGUGAACGCAGGUGAGAGCUUCGGCGCAUCAUCGACCGAUCCUGAUGUUCUCGGAUGGAUUUGAGUAAGAGCAUACGGGGCCGGACCCGAAAGAAGGUGAACUAUGCCUGUAUAGGGUGAAGCCAGAGGAAACUCUGGUGGAGGCUCGCAGCGGUUCUGACGUGCAAAUCGAUCGUCAAAUAUGGGCAUGGGGGCGAAAGACUAAUCG
Molecule: ribosomal RNA, 933 nt
Filed under: Trichoderma aggressivum
Lineage: Eukaryota; Fungi; Ascomycota; Sordariomycetes; Hypocreales; Hypocreaceae
Description: LSU rRNA
Rfam family: Eukaryotic large subunit ribosomal RNA
Source: RNAcentral